Molecule: long non-coding RNA, 124 nt
Organism: Corvus hawaiiensis (hawaiian crow)
Lineage: Eukaryota; Metazoa; Chordata; Aves; Passeriformes; Corvidae
Exons: 2
Source: RefSeq, a predicted model, not a curated record
GAUCCAACUCCCGGCCCCUUCCCAGGAUAAUCCCUGAUCCAAUUCCCAGGACAAUCCCAGCAUUCCCGGAUCCAACUCCCAGCCCCUUCCCAGGACAAUCCCGGAUCCAAUUCCCAGGACAAUC